RNAcentral lists this non-coding RNA (26 nucleotides) under Drosophila erecta. RNAcentral also lists the same sequence under 7 other names. Lineage: Eukaryota; Metazoa; Arthropoda; Insecta; Diptera; Drosophilidae. The record is from RNAcentral.
AGACUCUUAAUCUCAGGGUCGUGGGU